This 26-nucleotide non-coding RNA is filed under the name Cricetulus griseus (Chinese hamster). RNAcentral also lists the same sequence under 1 other name. The record is from RNAcentral. Lineage: Eukaryota; Metazoa; Chordata; Mammalia; Rodentia; Cricetidae.
GGAAUUCAUAACUAUUCAGACUGGGA